Molecule: ribosomal RNA, 253 nt
Filed under: uncultured bacterium
Lineage: Bacteria
Description: partial 16S ribosomal RNA
Rfam family: Bacterial small subunit ribosomal RNA
Source: RNAcentral
UACGUAGGGUGCGAGCGUUGUCCGGAAUUAUUGGGCGUAAAGAGCUUGUAGGCGGUCUGUCGCGUCUGCUGUGAAAAUCCGGGGCUCAACCCCGGACUUGCAGUGGGUACGGGCAGACUAGAGUGUGGUAGGGGAGACUGGAAUUCCUGGUGUAGCGGUGAAAUGCGCAGAUAUCAGGAGGAACACCGGUGGCGAAGGCAGGUCUCUGGGCUGUAACUGACGCUGAGGAGCGAAAGCAUGGGGAGCGAACAGG